AAUGCAAGGAAUGAAGGUUGAUCCAAGAUCAUGGUCCCGCACCUUGUUCCCCUUGUUUCCAUGCUAUUGAGCUUCUCCCAUUGAUCUCGGAUCAGGCUUCAUUCCUUUACAUU
RNAcentral lists this microRNA precursor (113 nucleotides) under Amborella trichopoda. Its description in RNAcentral is "pre miRNA mir-166". Lineage: Eukaryota; Viridiplantae; Streptophyta; Magnoliopsida; Amborellales; Amborellaceae. The record is from RNAcentral.